Molecule: ribosomal RNA, 472 nt
Filed under: uncultured bacterium
Lineage: Bacteria
Description: bacterial SSU rRNA
Rfam family: Bacterial small subunit ribosomal RNA
Source: RNAcentral
GACGAACGCUGGCGGCGUGCCUAAUGCAUGCAAGUCGAGCGGGCUACGAUCUUCGGAUUGUAGCUUAGCGGCGAACGGGUGAGUAACACGUAGGUGAUCUACCCUUCAGAGGAGGACAACCUCAGGAAACUGAGGCUAAACCUUCAUACGUUCACUGGUAGGGAUACUGGUGAAGAAAGAGUUACCUUAGUGGUAGCUGCUGAAGGAUGAGCCUGCGGCCCAUCAGGUAGUUGGUGAGGUAACGGCUCACCAAGCCGAAGACGGGUAACCGGUCUGAGAGGAUGUCCGGUCACACUGGGACUGAGACACGGCCCAGACUCCUACGGGAGGCAGCAGCAGGGAAUCUUGGGCAAUGGGCGAAAGCCUGACCCAGCGACGCCGCGUGGAGGAAGAAGUCCUUCGGGGCGUAAACUCCUGGACUGGGGGACGAGGAAGGACGGUACCCCAGUAGAAAGGGACGGCUAACUACGUG